RNAcentral lists this ribosomal RNA (604 nucleotides) under Limosilactobacillus mucosae. Its description in RNAcentral is "bacterial SSU rRNA". It matches the Rfam family "Bacterial small subunit ribosomal RNA", at positions 828 to 1432 of the family's 1533-position model. Lineage: Bacteria; Bacillati; Bacillota; Bacilli; Lactobacillales; Lactobacillaceae. The record is from RNAcentral.
GGGUUUCCGCCCUUCAGUGCCGCAGCUAACGCAUUAAGCACUCCGCCUGGGGAGUACGACCGCAAGGUUGAAACUCAAAGGAAUUGACGGGGGCCCGCACAAGCGGUGGAGCAUGUGGUUUAAUUCGAAGCUACGCGAAGAACCUUACCAGGUCUUGACAUCUUGCGCCAACCCUAGAGAUAGGGCGUUUCCUUCGGGAACGCAAUGACAGGUGGUGCAUGGUCGUCGUCAGCUCGUGUCGUGAGAUGUUGGGUUAAGUCCCGCAACGAGCGCAACCCUUGUUACUAGUUGCCAGCAUUCAGUUGGGCACUCUAGUGAGACUGCCGGUGACAAACCGGAGGAAGGUGGGGACGACGUCAGAUCAUCAUGCCCCUUAUGACCUGGGCUACACACGUGCUACAAUGGACGGUACAACGAGUCGCGAACUCGCGAGGGCAAGCUAAUCUCUUAAAACCGUUCUCAGUUCGGACUGCAGGCUGCAACUCGCCUGCACGAAGUCGGAAUCGCUAGUAAUCGCGGAUCAGCAUGCCGCGGUGAAUACGUUCCCGGGCCUUGUACACACCGCCCGUCACACCAUGAGAGUUUGCAACACCCAAAGUCGGCG